RNAcentral lists this unclassified non-coding RNA (302 nucleotides) under Hevea brasiliensis (rubber tree). The record is from RNAcentral. Lineage: Eukaryota; Viridiplantae; Streptophyta; Magnoliopsida; Malpighiales; Euphorbiaceae.
GAUGUAGUCUUUGUGGUUCUCUUCUUUCUUUCUUUCUUAUUCUCCUAAUUCUUAAAUUCUUAACACCAUGGAAGCAAGUCUUUUCUUGUGCACGUUUAAGUUGCUGAGAAUGGUAGCUUAUGGGAGUACUUGCCAAAGAGUUGGAUAAGCAAUUUGCACGGGCAAGAAGUAUGCAGAUUAAGGAUUCAACUUCAUCCUUGAGGACAAGGAUGUUCUCAAAGACGAGGGACCAUAAUCUAAGAAGCUAAGCCAAGGAAAGGAAGUUAAGUUGUUUUUUAGUUGCAUUAGUUAGUUAGCUGAUC